RNAcentral lists this ribosomal RNA (399 nucleotides) under uncultured bacterium. RNAcentral describes it as "bacterial SSU rRNA". It matches the Rfam family "Bacterial small subunit ribosomal RNA", at positions 521 to 896 of the family's 1533-position model. The record is from RNAcentral.
UAAUACGUAGGGUGCGAGCGUUAUCCGGAUUUAUUGGGCGUAAAGGGUGCGCAGGCGGCCGUGGGCAGUAGCGCGUGGAAUCUCCCCGCUCACCGGGGAGGGGUCGCGCUAUACGACAUGGCUUGGAGCAGGCAGAGGAUCGCGGAACGGGCGGAGUAGGGGUGAAAUCCGUAGAGACCGUCCGGAACACCAGUGGCGAAGGCGGCGAUCUGGGCCUGAAGGUGGAGCAAUCCACCUGAACUCGACGCUCGGGCACGAAAGCGUGGGGAGCGAACGGAAUUAGAUACUCCGGUAGUCCACGCCCUAAACGAUGUCGACUCGGUGUCGGGGGUAUCGACCCCUCCGGCGCCCCAGCAAACGCGGUAAGUCGACCGCCUGGGGACUACGGCCGCAAGGCUA